GUACACACCGCCCGUCGCUACUACCGAUUGAAUGGUUUAGUGAGGUCUUUGGAUUGUCUUUUCUCUGAAAGGAUGAAAAAUUGCCCAAACUUGGUCAUUUAGAGGAAGUAAAAGUCGUAACAAGGUAACCGUAGGUGAACCUGCAGAAGGAUCA
Molecule: ribosomal RNA, 154 nt
Filed under: uncultured eukaryote
Lineage: Eukaryota
Description: partial small subunit ribosomal RNA
Rfam family: Eukaryotic small subunit ribosomal RNA
Source: RNAcentral